This 109-nucleotide non-coding RNA is filed under the name Fictibacillus macauensis. RNAcentral describes it as "TPP sequence". It matches the Rfam family "TPP riboswitch aptamer (THI element)". From Rfam's summary of the family: Vitamin B(1) in its active form thiamin pyrophosphate (TPP) is an essential coenzyme that is synthesised by coupling of pyrimidine and thiazole moieties in bacteria. The previously detected thiamin-regulatory element, thi box was extended, resulting in a new, highly conserved RNA secondary structure, the THI element, which is widely distributed in eubacteria and also occurs in some archaea. Lineage: Bacteria; Bacillati; Bacillota; Bacilli; Caryophanales; Fictibacillaceae. The record is from RNAcentral. RNAcentral also lists the same sequence under 1 other name.
GUUUUCUACUAGGGGGGUCCGUAGGCGGGCUGAGAGAGAAUGAACCAUUUCUCGACCCUUUGAACCUGAUCUGGCUUAUACCAGCGUAGGGAAGUAGCUAGCAAAGACU